RNAcentral lists this ribosomal RNA (253 nucleotides) under uncultured bacterium. RNAcentral describes it as "partial 16S ribosomal RNA". It matches the Rfam family "Bacterial small subunit ribosomal RNA", at positions 524 to 776 of the family's 1533-position model. The record is from RNAcentral.
UACGUAGGGUGCGAGCGUUGUCCGGAAUUAUUGGGCGUAAAGGGCGCGUAGGCGGCCCGCUAAGUCGAACGUGAAAUCCCCGGGCUUAACCCGGGAACUGCGUCCGAUACUGGCAGGCUUGAAUCCGGGAGAGGGAUGUGGAAUUCCAGGUGUAGCGGUGAAAUGCGUAGAUAUCUGGAGGAACACCGGUGGCGAAGGCGGCGUUCUGGACUGCAACUGACACUGAUGAACGAAAGCCAGGGGAGCAAACGGG